GGCACGGUGGCAUAGUGGUUAGCACUGUUACCUUGCAAGAACGAGGUUCCGGGUUCGAAUCCGAGUCCGACCG
This 73-nucleotide transfer RNA is filed under the name Anguilla anguilla (European eel). Its description in RNAcentral is "tRNA-OTHER". Lineage: Eukaryota; Metazoa; Chordata; Actinopteri; Anguilliformes; Anguillidae. The record is from RNAcentral.